UACGUAGGGGGCAAGCGUUGUCCGGAAUCAUUGGGCGUAAAGCGCGUGUUGGCGGCUUGGUAAGUCCGCUCUGAAAGCCCGGGGCUCAACCCCGGGAGGCGGGUGGAUACUGUCAAGCUCGAGUCCGGAAGAGGCGAGUGGAAUUCCUGGUGUAGCGGUGGAAUGCGCAGAUAUCAGGAGGAACACCAAUAGCGAAGGCAGCUCGCUGGGACGUUACUGACACUGAGGCGCGAAAGCGUGGGGAGCGAACAGG
RNAcentral lists this ribosomal RNA (253 nucleotides) under uncultured bacterium. RNAcentral describes it as "partial 16S ribosomal RNA". It matches the Rfam family "Bacterial small subunit ribosomal RNA", at positions 524 to 776 of the family's 1533-position model. The record is from RNAcentral.